AAAUCAGUUAUGAUGUACGUGAUAAAUUCUUACUACUUGGAUAACCGUGGUAAUUCUAGAGCUAAUACAUGCAAAAAAGCCUCGACUUCGGAAGGGGUGCACUUAUUAGAUUAAACCAACGCUGGGGUAAAAUCCAGAUUUCUUUGGUGAUUCAUAAUAAUUAAGCGGAUCGCAUGGCCUAGUGCCGGCGACGAUCCACUCCAUWNUCUGCCCUAUCAUGG
RNAcentral lists this ribosomal RNA (221 nucleotides) under uncultured Mucoromycotina. RNAcentral describes it as "partial 18S ribosomal RNA". It matches the Rfam family "Eukaryotic small subunit ribosomal RNA", at positions 103 to 322 of the family's 1831-position model. The record is from RNAcentral. Lineage: Eukaryota; Fungi.